GACGAACGCUGGCGGCGUGCUUAACACAUGCAAGUCGAACGGUAAGGCCCUUCGGGGUACACGAGUGGCGAACGGGUGAGUAACACGUGGGUGAUCUGCCCUGCACUUCGGGAUAAGCUUGGGAAACUUGAGCUAAUACCGUAUACGUCCGUGAGGAGAAAGAUUUAUCGCCCUUAGACGGGCCCGCGUCGGAUUAGCUAGUUGGUGGGGUAACGGCCUACCAAGGCGACGAUCCGUAGCUGAUCUUAGAGGAUGAUCAGCCACACUGGAACUGAGACACGGUCCAGACUCCUACGGGAGGCAGCAGUGGGGAAUUUUGGACAAUGGGGGCAACCCUGAUCCAGCCAUGCCGCGUGAGUGAAGAAGGCCUUCGGGUUGUAAAGCUCUUUCGGCCGGGAAGAAAUCGCAUAGGCUAAUACCCUGUGUGGAUAACGGUACCGGAAUAAGAAGCACCGGCUAACUACGUG
Molecule: ribosomal RNA, 467 nt
Filed under: uncultured bacterium
Lineage: Bacteria
Description: bacterial SSU rRNA
Rfam family: Bacterial small subunit ribosomal RNA
Source: RNAcentral